GGAGGAGUUCCGGUGUGAGCACUUCCGCGGGCAGUUGAAAAGAGCUGGUUUGCAUGCAGUCUUCUCUGUGUGUUUUCUGGUUUGCGGAGUUUGUUGUGGCGCGGGCGGUAGGUUGAAGAAGGAAGAUUAGCCCUGAGCUAACAUCUGCCGCCAAUUCUCCUCUUUUUGCUGAGGAAGACUGGCCCUGAGCCAACAUCUGUGCCCAUCUUCCUCUACUUUAUAUGUGGGGCGCCUACCACAGCAUGGCUUGCCAAGCAGUGCCAUGUCCACACCAGGGAUGAGAACCAGUGAACCCCGGCCACUGAAGCGGAAUGUGCGAACUUAACUGCUGUGCCACCGGGCCGGCCCCAGCCAAUGUUAAUUAUUGAUGUAAUUGUGUCCGUCUUAAUGAGAUUUGGUAUUUUAGCAUGGGGGGCAUCAGUUUUGGGACUCAGGGAACAUAUAAAAUGUUUUCCCACUGAAAUUAACGGUGAUUACGUUUUUGACUUACAUUGGCCCCACAUGAGGUUUUUCAGGAUUAAUUACCCUAGGAAGGCAGAAGAGGACUGUCCUGCAGUUACUGUACCUUUUACUGUCAUGGAAAAUUAAAAUGUAACAAGAAGAUUAAUGUUUCUUCUUCUGAGAUCAAGGUAUAGCCUCAGGAGCCUCUGUUAGCAUGUGUAAAGCCUCUGCUAAGUAAAUGGUGCUAACUUGUGUAAAAGAAAGAAUGUGACAGUCCAGGGGGUGCCUGAAAGGAGGUAUAUCAAGUCAACACAUUCCUGAGGCGACCUCGCUGCUGUGGAGAUGGAUACACCAGGAAUGUUAUCUGCAGUCUGGUUGGGCUUCCGGUGUGUGUUCCUACAGAGGGUGAUAUGCCCAUGACUCCUAGGUCCUUUCUUUCACAGAACUGUUCGUAUUUGUGGUGUUGUAGUUUGCAUUUUAAAGCAGUCAAUUGCCAUUUGGUAUCUGAUGUCAUGAGUUAUAUGAUGUGUCAGCCUCCCCCAGCCAGUCAACCCUGAGGAACUGCCAGCACCUAGUUCCUGAGGCCCAAAGCUGAAAUUUGAGAAUGUCUUCAAGGUAAUGAGGGCCGCUGGCCUAUGGCAGCCAGCAUUCCUCUGCAGGUAGAUGCUCUCUUGCCCUUUCAAUUUUUUUGCUCACAUUCCCUUUCAACUUGCUCUCACCACAAAGGUCCUUUCCAUUCCUGUGACUCUGGGAUUUGCCAACAUCCUGAUGAAGUGCACCAUGUUGUUCUUCACUCACCUGGGAAUGGAAGUAGUCAGAACUUUAAGGCAAGUAAAAAGGCCAAUCCCAAAGUGACUCAUUGGUUUUUUGGGGGGGGUUUUUGUUUGUUUGGUGAGGAAGACUGGUCCUGAGCUAACAUCUGUUGCCAAUCUUCCACUUUUUGCUUGAGGAAGAUUGUCCUUGAGCUAACAUCUGUGCCCAUCUUCCUCUAUUUUGUAUAUGGGACAUUGCCACAGCAUGGCUUGAUGAGUGGUGUGUAGGUCUGCACCUGGGAUCCAAACUCGCGAACCCUGGGCCACUGAAGUGGAGCGUGCAAACUUAACCACUACACCACUGGGCCAGGCCCCCCGAGUAACUCAUCUUUGAAAACAUUGGAUCAUGUCACUCUCCUUGAUACUUAAUUGAAAGCUGUCUUUGCACAGCUCCAUCCAGAUUUCUGUGGUGGCCCCAGCACUCAGCAGUCCCACAGCCUGUCAGAGCAAAAGGGAAUAGGAGGCAGUUCAAGCCAUCUGUCCUAGAACAAGACAUCUGGUUACAGGUCUGGGCCUCUAGUCGGGGCUCUUUGGGAGCCAUCUGGCCCCCCCGUCUGACAGAGCUGUUAUAAACAAGAUGCUGUCAAGUACUGUUAAGACUUAGGAG
This is a long non-coding RNA of Equus caballus (horse), 1860 nucleotides long. The record is from Ensembl. Lineage: Eukaryota; Metazoa; Chordata; Mammalia; Perissodactyla; Equidae.